RNA transcript from Musa acuminata AAA Group (dessert banana), 3813 nucleotides. It is a transcript of the gene named probable sarcosine oxidase, with no coding region annotated. NCBI's taxonomy places the organism in Eukaryota, Viridiplantae, Streptophyta, Magnoliopsida, Zingiberales, Musaceae. The transcript is spliced from 5 exons. The record is from RefSeq and is a predicted model, not a curated record.
AAAAAGAGCUGCGAGAGAGAGAGAGAGGUGAGUCAGAGAACGAAAAGACGACUGUUUCUGCUCGAUCUAAUCCCGACUCAGCGCGAAGUGGAGAGAGAAGGGGUGGAGGAGGAGGAGGAAGAAGAAGAAGAGGGGGAAGCGCGAAGCAAAGAGAAGAAGCGCUCAAACAACCGAGGGAGAGAACAAUCGGAGCUCCGCUCGCCGCCGGCGAAGGCGCCUCGGAGUAGAAUCGAGGCGGUGGAUCCGGCUGCUGCGAGUUUGCGGUGAGGUCAUCUCGAAUCCCCCCUCCCCUCUUCUUCUGCCUGCGUUCUCGUUUCCCCGCAGGAUUGGCUUCUCUUUCCUAUUCGUGUUAUCCGUCUUUCUCUGCUUCUCUCGCCUUGAUCCGCCCGCGGAGGCAAUUGAGGCCCACUUCGCUUAAUUGUGGGUUCUCCGAUCGCGGACCGGGGAGCAGAUCGUCGCCUGCUUCUUUGGUGGGGUUCCGGGUUGCAAUGAGAGCUUCCCGAGCUGGCCGCUACUAAAUGGGACUUGAUUCUGGUUGUUUCUCGGAUUUUAGGGUUUUCGAUCUCUGUGUGAGAAAAUUCCGGUUUCAGGUUUCCAUCUCUGUGGGCACAGAUUCCUGAUCUUGUGUUGCUUGUGGGGUUCUUCUGUGGAAGAUAAUAUUUCUGCCUGCAUUGGUGUCUCUGAGGUGCUGGGAAUCGUGCAUAGCUUGCUUUCUCUGUAAGAGAAGGUGCAAACGCUGAUAUUGGCUAAAACCCAGAGAUAUAAUAGGAGUGGAGGAAGCUCUUAUAAUCGUUUGCUUUCAUGGUGAUUUAUAUGGCUACUGUUUGUUGAGAGUUGCCGCCGCCACCGAUGCUGCAGCGGCAACCAUCGCUGCCACCACCGAUGUUGCAACCACAGCCACCGGUGACGAAGCAUUCCCGUACCCACCUUAGUGACUUAAAAUCACAGAUAGCAAAGCGGCUGGGCCAUGAGCGAGCAAAUAACUACUUCAGCUAUCUGAAUGGUUUACUGUCACAGAAGCUAAGCAACCGUGAGUUCAACAAGCUUUGCAUUUUGACACUCGGUCAUGAGAAUCUUCCCUUGCACAAUCAGCUGAUCCGGUCGAUCCUUCAAAAUGCCUGUCAAGAAAAGGCUCCUCCUGUCAAUUAUGGCAAAUUUGCACAAAGGUCAACUGUUAUUAUGUCAAAGACAUCUCCUCAAGUAGAUGAUGGACUUGAUUUUUCACAAGCCCGGACACAGUCAGGAAAUUGGUCCAAUGGGGAUAUCUUGCCACGGUCACCGUGCAAGUUUAAGAGUGGUAUUGAUAAUCACAGUAUCUAUGACCACCCUGGUCCUCUUCGACCAAAUGGGAAGGUGGAGGUUGGUUUCCGUGAGAACGGUGUCAUGAACUCAUGUAAUUUGAAGAGACCAUUGCAGCGACAGCAGGAUGGACCUUGCAAGCUGCCAACAAAGAGAACAAGGAUCGAGGAACCAUCACUGCAUGACCAGGGCUCUGUACAUAACAAGGUUCUUUCUGAAGCAGUUCUCCUAGAACAUGUGGAGGAUGUGGACUGUAGGGGUAGUUUAGACUCCCAUAGACAUCCGCUUCGGGCUCCACUUGGAAUUCCUUUCUCUUUGACGAGCAUUGGCAAGGCAAGAAGGACACUUCUCUCUGCUGGUACCAGUAUCAACGAUGGCUUUUGCAGGAAUUAUGAUUGUAGCGAACUGUACCAUACUGAGGUAUUGAAGAAACGAAUGGAUAAAAUGGCUCAAGCACAGGGCUUAGAAGGAGUAACAAUGGACUGUGCCAACUUGCUGAACAAUGGGUUAGAUGCUUAUUUGAAGAGGUUAAUUAAAUCAUGCGUUGAUCUAGUAGGAACAGGAACAGAGCAUGUAUCAACAAAACGGGCAGUUCCCAGUCUUCUGCCUUAUGCAAAGCCCAUUAAUGGUGUUUGGGCAAGAAGUAACAUCCAAAGGCAAGGUAGUGUUGGACCUUUGAUAGGCACACAUAUGUUACAUUUGAAGGAUUUUAGGGUAGCAAUGGAGCUAAAUCCACAGCAACUUGGGGGCGAUUGGUCCUUGCUUCUUGAAAAAAUAUGCGUUGACUCGUUUGAGGAAUAGGAAAAAAUCCGAAGAAUCUGGCUUGCAGAAAUCAUAGCACUUGGACGGGCUUAACUUUUAAGGACUGGUCUAUUUUGGACUUCAAUGGGCAGAUUCAAGAUCCUCAGCUAAAAGAUACACUUUGUGGGUUUCUUUUAGUAUCCACAGAGAAGAAUUCUGUUAAGUUCCUGCUACGGAACACCUCAAACAAUAACAAAUAAUAAAUGCGAGCUUGUCCAAAGGAAGAAACUCUUCUUGUUUGGCCCAUUAUUGUAGGUUAGCAUUCCUGAGGAGGCAUCUCCUUCACAGUAUCACCAUCUGAGGUGUCAAGCUUUUAUAUAAGUGACAUCAUGGAAGACUCUAAGGAAAUUCUGCAGGAAAUUUUUUCUGUAUCUUAUACAAUCAUCAUCUGUUGAUUUCUUGUUCGGAAUCUUUGGGUUACUGAUGUGCAUGAUGUUUUACAAUCUUCCUUAAUCAUAGUGGAUAAGCGAUAUUGGCUGUACCAAAAAUUUGGUGAGAAGAUUCUUAAAGUAAAGAAGGAUGGAAGCUUCCUACUUCAUCCUAAGGCGCCAUGUUUCUGCCCCUUCUCCAUCCCCAUCCACGGAAGACCAAAUUCUAUAACAGAAGUUACGAAGGAGCUAGUCUGUUCUGCAUCAGGCAGUGACAGUGAGGAGAAAGCUAUGGAUGAUUUGUAGAGCAAAGAAAUAAAAAACCAAGGUCAGUUUGUUGGGCAGCGUGCCCAAAUAUGACGAAGAGCAAGGGAGUGCAGACUACAGUCCAGCGACCCUUCAUUAUCCUCUACCGCCCAAGAAUCAUCCUGAACUAUAGUCUUCAGUUUCUCCAAAUGCCAAAAUGAUGCAUCCUAUUUGCAUGUUGAUUGUUGCUUCUCACCGAAAUAUGUUCUGCUAUGCUGUUCUCGUUUAAUGUACUUAUUUGGAGGCAUAUACAUUAGGUUUUUGCUUGGAGUUUGGACACUGUUCUUUGAAGGCAUAUAUUGUGAUGCUUCUUCUAGGAAGAUAUUCUCAUUGUGGAAGGAGACUUGGAAGUUUUGUGACCAUCAAACUGGGUUGCUUCAGAUAAUAUCAAGUUACCACCAUCAACAUUAUGAUGUGAGAAGACAGACUGUUAGUCAGAGGAACCAGAGAACUUGGUCUGAAAUCUUUGCACAUCAUCAAUUUAUCGGAUGAUCCAUCCGUCCAUCGGUCGGUCGGGUGUAUUAUAUUAUUGUUAACUUGCAGUUUGAAGCAUCAAUCCGAGUCAUUCAGUCAGUGGUGGAACCACCGAAGUAACUGGUUCUCGGGGAUCCACAGAGACUCAAUCAGGUCAGAGACUUCUUUCCUUUCUUCUUUAAUCUCUGUUUUGAAGAGUAUUCAUGCAAGAAUAUUAGAUCUGUAAGCUUUACAACCCAUUGUUGGUCCAAGCACGUGUAUCAGAUUCCAAGAACCACCAGGAAUCAUCAUCUUUAGAGCAAUCUCCUGUUCCCUGCUUAGAAACCGCUGCCCACCUUUACCAUGCAGAGAAUCCCAAGUAAUAGACAAGAUAUAGAACUGCUUUAUGGUGAACAAAGAUGACGACGGACAACACCUCACACCACCUUGCUUUCUAGAUUAGCCUGCCAGCAGAGGUGGCCCAAAAGAGACUUGGAUAAUAACAAGUCCAGCUUUAUACAUUGCUAAACAAAUCCCUUACAGCAUACGGAAUCUCUUGUUUGGAUGAAGUAGAGUGUUUAUCACG